This 533-nucleotide ribosomal RNA is filed under the name uncultured Acidobacteriaceae bacterium. RNAcentral's name for it is "bacterial SSU rRNA". It matches the Rfam family "Bacterial small subunit ribosomal RNA", at positions 79 to 644 of the family's 1533-position model. The record is from RNAcentral. Lineage: Bacteria; Pseudomonadati; Acidobacteriota; Terriglobia; Terriglobales; Acidobacteriaceae.
GCAAUACCUGAGUAAAGUGGCGCACGGGUGAGUAACACGUGACUAACCUACCUUUAAGUGGGGGAUAACCUAGGGAAACCUGGGCUAAUACCGCAUAAAACCUACGGGUCAAAGCAGCAAUGCGAUGAAAGAGGGGGUCGCGGCCGAUUAGCUGGUUGGCGGGGUAAUGGCCCACCAAGGCAAUGAUCGGUAUCCGGCCUGAGAGGGCGCACGGACACACUGGAACUGAAACACGGUCCAGACUCCUACGGGAGGCAGCAGUGGGGAAUUUUGCGCAAUGGGGGAAACCCUGACGCAGCAACGCCGCGUGGAGGAUGAAGUCCCUUGGGACGUAAACUCCUUUCGAUCGGGACGAUAAUGACGGUACCGGAAGAAGAAGCCCCGGCUAACUUCGUGCCGGCAGCCGCGGUAAUACGAGGGGGGCAAGCGUUGUUCGGAACUAUUGGGCGUAAAGGGUGCGUAGGUGGUUCGGCAAGUCUUGUGUGAAAUCUUCAGGCUCAACUUGAGGUCUGCACAAGUAACUGCCGGGCUUG